AAGUCGUAACAAGGUUUCCGUAGGUGAACCUGCGGAAGGAUCAUUUCCAAAAAAGCAUUGCCUUAUUAUAUACACCUUUUGGUGUGUGAACAGUUGGUUUAGAAAAAUCAUUUUUACUCUCGAAGCGGAUUAACAUCUCGAAUGUUACUGUGGAGAGAGGCCUUGAUGAACCCACAUCCUUUUUGUUUAUAUUGCGAGUGCAAACUCCAAUAUCUACAAAGGGACGUUAACAUAAAGUCUACACUAUAUUUCUAAGUCAAAAAGACUUAUUGUAUGUACAAUAUGUCAAUUUACUCUAGUAAAUAUACGACAACUUUUAACGGUGGAUCUCUUGGCUCGU
Molecule: unclassified non-coding RNA, 340 nt
Filed under: fungal sp.
Lineage: Eukaryota; Fungi
Description: partial internal transcribed spacer region
Rfam family: Eukaryotic small subunit ribosomal RNA (bases 1-46)
Source: RNAcentral